Long non-coding RNA from Plodia interpunctella (Indianmeal moth), 428 nucleotides. RefSeq lists it as uncharacterized. The transcript is spliced from 2 exons. The record is from RefSeq and is a predicted model, not a curated record. NCBI's taxonomy places the organism in Eukaryota, Metazoa, Arthropoda, Insecta, Lepidoptera, Pyralidae.
UGCAGCAAGGCAAAAAGGCCAUAAUUCAGUGAACUUUCUGCACAUCAGUACAAAAACACUGAUUUUCAGUUAUUGCCGUAAAUGUAGUUAUAAAAAAAUAAAAUUGUGUACUUAAACAUUUUAAGAAAUACAAGUAUUACAAGAAAAACAAAAAAGGAAAAUAUUAAGACAGUUUGCAAAUCAGAAGACAAACAAAAGCAACCACUCAUCUCUCGAAGGGAAAUCCAGUAAAGGCACCAAUUCAAGAAAUUAGGAUUACCUGAAGAAGAUUCCGGAAGCAGCAAAAUUUUUGGCCACCACGGGCUGUUCUCGUUUCAAUGAGUCUUCACUGCUUGUGGUCGUAGAAGGAGAUGAUUGUACCUUCUCAUUUUCUAGUUCUUUCUUCACUUGUGCCUGAAAUAUUUAGUAAUAAAACAACAAUAUUUAAA